Long non-coding RNA from Sinocyclocheilus grahami, 2418 nucleotides. The record is from Ensembl. NCBI's taxonomy places the organism in Eukaryota, Metazoa, Chordata, Actinopteri, Cypriniformes, Cyprinidae.
UGGGCAUGUAAAGUGUUUGUUAUUGGGGAGUCUAGGAACUAUAAACUUGUCUUUAGUGGUCACUGUGGGUAAAAAAACAAACAAAAAAAAACAGAAUUUCUUGCAAAAUCAGUAUUUCUUUCUGCCAAAUGUAUUUUAAUUCCUAUUUUUCAUAAUCUCCAUUCAAGACAAUCCAUGCACUCACAAUGUCUUGCAUAAUUCACUGUUUGCUGUAAAUGUAACAAUUAUAUGCAUGUAUUCAGAGUUAAAUCAAGCCCUGAAUAGACAGGUCACUGAACCCAAUCUUAAGAGAGUUGGACUGGUUUUGCUUUGAAACAAAUUUGUUCAACACUUUGAGACAGGCCUUUCACUCACAAAAGGACCAGCCAAUAACUAUCCUUAACACAGAAAAAGUCACAAUGCAAAGCAUUCCAAAACAAUCUGAUAAUUUAUUUUGUAUGGUGGCACACAAAAACAAAUUUAAUUACCAACACAUGAGUGGCUUGUUCUUCCAGAAUCAACACUUGUGUGAACAGGGGGAGAACUGGAUUCCAGAGACAAACUAGAAUUUUCUAAGAGUUAAAAGGAAAAACUAGUCAGGGAACUGGGUAUUUUACAUUUAGAAGUCAAGUUCUUAGAGGGAAGAGACCAACAUUUAAAAAUUGGUUUUUACAGGUUUAAUGCUAGACUUCUAACGAGAAGGGGAAGAACUGGAUUGUAUAGCAUCACUAGCUUUCUCCGGUUUAUAACGGUUUCUCAGAGGGAAGAGAGCUAGACUUCUCAGUGGGGAGGGAGGAACGUGGUUCCGUUGGAGCACUAGGUUGUUCAGGUUUAGAACUGGGUUUCUCAGUGGGGAGGGAAAAACUGGGUUCCGUUGGAGCACUAGGUUGUUCCGGUUUAGAACUGGGUUUCUUAGUGGGGAGGGAGAAACUGGGUUCCGUGGGAGAACUCGGUUGUUCAGGUUUAGAACUGGGUUUCUCAGUGGGGAGGGAAAAACUGGGUUCCGUUGGAGCACUAGGUUGUUCAGGUUUAGAACUGGGUUUCUCAGUGGGGAGGGAGAAACUGGGUUCCGUGGAAGCACUAGGUUGUUCAGGUUUAGAACUGGGUUUCUCAGUGGGGAGGGAGAAACUGGGUUCCGUGGGAGCACUAGGUUGUUCAGGUUUAGAACUGGGUUUCUCAGUGGGGAGGGGGCUAGACUUCUCAGAUGGAAUGGAAGAACUAGGUUUCACAGGUUUAGAACUGGGCUUUAAGAAAACGCUUGGUUUCACUGGGAGAAGAGAACUUGGGAUCUCUGGCUUAGAAUGUUGUUGCAUAGGAGCACUAGAUUUCUCCGGUUUAGAGCUGAAUUUUUCAGAUGGAAGUAAAAAAAUGGGUCCCAUCAGAGCUCCAGGUUUCUUAGGUUUAGAACUGACCUUUGAGAAGAGAAUACUUGAUUUCACAGGGAGAGGAGAACUUGGGGUCUUUAGCUUAGAUCGGUGUUCAGUAGGAGCUUUGGGUCUCUCAGGGUUAGAGGAGAACUUGGGGUCUUUAGCUUAGAUCGGUGUUCAGUAGGAGCUUUGGGUCUCUCAGGGUUAGAGCCAGACUUCUCAAAAGGGUAGGAAGAACUUGAUUGCUUAGGAGCACUAGGUUUAGAGCUUGACUUUUCAGAUUGGAGAGAAAAACUGGGUUUCUUCACAGAAAGGGAGCUGGACUUCUCAGAAACAAAGGAAGAACUGGGUUCCUUAGGAUGUGCUUUUUUUACAGAUGAUUGCCAAAUGCUGCUUUCCACUAGAGCAGUCGGUUUUCUCAAGGAAACAGACGAACUUGACUUCACAUGAGCCCUGAAACUAGGUUUCUGAGGGAAGUGAGAAUUGUCAUGUUCAGUCGGUCCUGAAAAGAAUAUUUGAAUAACUGUUAGUUACAGAGAUGACAAUAUAAAACAGUGACCAUAAGUUCUCUUCAAUUUUAAUACAACAUGGUAGCUAAACACAUCAUCAUGGAAACAUGUAUAUCUUUAUGUUAAUGAACAUAGAUAAUUUACAACCAAACCUUUGUGUUUUUGCAGUAGUUGCCCAGCAUUACUCCAAUCAGACACAUGGGAGACACGUUCAGUUGGAGUACAGAGCACUAGAAGAAGACUCAAGGUUAACAAGAGAAACACAUUUUUUAUAUCUAUACACUAAAGUUAAUUUACCUUCACUCCAUGAGUGAUACAAAUACAAUAAAAUAAUAAGUUUAGAAGAACCCAUUUUGCCCACAAGUUCUACCAUUCAGUUUGUUUGUCUAACCAGGCAUUUUAAAGAUAAGCAGUGACACAGAUUUGCAUCACCUGGGAUCCCCAUUAACGAACAAUUGUGGCAUUGUUUCAUCCUUGGGUGUAUUCCAGAAAGCACGGUUAACUUACCAUCACAUAUACCCUGAACUCUCAGUUGAUUAACCUAAACCAGGGAUCCUCAAAUC